AACCCUAGUAAUACAAGGCAGUACGGCUCAGUAACGCGUAGUCAACCUAACCUAUGGCACGGGGGAUAAUCUCGGGAAACUGAGCAUAAUACCCGAUAGCAACAUUAUGCCUGGAAUGGUUUAUGUUCCAAAUGAUUUAUCGCCGUAGGAUGGGACUGCGGCCUAUCAGUUUGUUGGUGAGGUAAUGGCCCACCAAGACUAUUACAGGUACGGGCUCUGAGAGGAGUAGCCCGGAGAUGGGUACUGAGACACGGACCCAGGCCCUAUGGGGCGCAGCAGGCGAGAAAACUUUGCAAUGUGCGAAAGCACGACAAGGUUAAUCCGAGUGGUUUCUGCUAAAGGAACCUUUUGACAGUCCUAGAAACACUGUUGAAUAAGGGGUGGGCAAGUUCUGGUGUCAGCCGCCGCGGUAAAACCAGNACCUCAAGUGGUCAGGAUGAUUAUUGGGCCUAAAGCAUCCGUAGCCGGCACUGUAAGUUUUCGGUUAAAUCUGUACGCUCAACGUACAGGCUGCCGGGAAUACUGCAGAGCUAGGGAGUGGGAGAGGUAGACGGUACUCGGUAGGAAGGGGUAAAAUCCUUUGAUCUAUUGAUGACCACCUGUGGCGAAGGCGGUCUACCAGAACACGUCCGACGGUGAGGGAUG
This 645-nucleotide ribosomal RNA is filed under the name uncultured archaeon. RNAcentral's name for it is "bacterial SSU rRNA". It matches the Rfam family "Archaeal small subunit ribosomal RNA", at positions 60 to 706 of the family's 1478-position model. The record is from RNAcentral.